Molecule: ribosomal RNA, 253 nt
Filed under: uncultured bacterium
Lineage: Bacteria
Description: partial 16S ribosomal RNA
Rfam family: Bacterial small subunit ribosomal RNA
Source: RNAcentral
UACGUAGGGGGCGAGCGUUGUCCGGAUUUAUUGGGCGUAAAGAGCGUGUAGGCGGUUCGGUAAGUCUGUCGUGAAAUCCUGAGGCUCAACCUUGGACGUGCGAUGGAUACUGCCGGGCUAGAGGAUGGUAGAGGCGAGUGGAAUUCUCGGUGUAGCGGUGAAAUGCGCAGAUAUCGGGAGGAACACCAGUAGCGAAGGCGGCUCGCUGGGCCAUUCCUGACGCUGAGACGCGAAAGCUGGGGGAGCGAACAGG